AUUGCGGUAGCUCAGUUGGUAAAGCAUCCGCUCGAUAGGCGGAACGUCGUCGGUUCUAUUCCGGUUCGCAACG
This 73-nucleotide transfer RNA is filed under the name Fasciola gigantica. It matches the Rfam family "tRNA". Rfam says of the family: Transfer RNA (tRNA) molecules are approximately 80 nucleotides in length. The record is from Rfam by way of RNAcentral. Lineage: Eukaryota; Metazoa; Platyhelminthes; Trematoda; Plagiorchiida; Fasciolidae.